GACUUCCCUAUUAAACUGUCUUUAUCUCCACCCAUGAGUUUUUUAGCUUUUGCCCUUUUGAAGCUCUGUCUGAUCCUGCUGGUAGGGGAGUGAGUGAGGUGCUGCAUGGAGCUUGGUUGCUGGCUGGGGUUAAACCACAACACUGGUGUUCAUUGAACCCAGGAGAAAAGUUUCUUAUAAUAUUGCAAGCUUAGAUACUUUAUGUCAGAGACCAGAUUUGUAUCUCACCGGGUAGUUUGAGUGAUGGGUCAAAUAAACUCAUGUCUGGGGGUGGGGGGGAGAAGGGCUAGGCCUAGGCCUGCAGCAAAUAUGGCCCAGAGCACACGGCAGGGAAAGCUGUGUAGCUAGGCUGUCAAUAAGGUCUGCCUGGUGGUCCACCCACACUGUGCCCCCUAAUUGUCUGUGGCACCCCUCACUUUGGCAAGUGGGACCAUGAGUGGUCAGUAAACCAAAAGUCCUGGCUAGAGGGAGUGGCCACAACAGCCAAAGUCUAUAAACAGACACGCAGGAGGUUUCCAUAUUGCCUUGGCCUGUAGUUCUCCUUGUCAGUCAACUUGUGACCUUUUAAAUGAAGAAACAUGCUUGAGUCAACUUAGAACAUUUAUACCUAAAUGACAUUCAUGUACAGAGAUAUGUUCACAUAUGUAGCAGCAUUAUAAAUGCUGCAUAUUUCAUUGGAACUCCAUGAAUCACUGACAGUUCGCUUUUAAAGGUUCUGCUUCACUACAGAAAGAAAGGAAGCAAGCAAGGAAGGAAGACCCAAACACCUAAAACCAGGAAUAAAAAAACAUUUAUUCUCAUCCCAUUGACACUUAGAGCUCCACUAACUUUAAUAUGUUAUUCUGAUGUAUACCAGAACAAGAGAAGAACCAAAUUAAGUGUACCUCCAACUUCACUCCCUUCCCUCUGUGCACAUUUGUAUGCUACUGGCUCCUUUGCCCUAAAGUGGUUCUCCAGUCUUCUCUUUGCCACAGCACAAAGACAAUCCCAAGGCUGUCCUGAAGUUCAUUUGCUGAGGUUAUACAGGGCACUGAGUGCCCUGAUAUCAACGUGCUGAAUAUAAGGUGCUGCUGGAAUUCCAUCUUUGAGUUUAAAGUUUUCUCAUAAAA
This is a long non-coding RNA of Corapipo altera (White-ruffed manakin), 1109 nucleotides long. RefSeq lists it as uncharacterized. Lineage: Eukaryota; Metazoa; Chordata; Aves; Passeriformes; Pipridae. The transcript is spliced from 4 exons. The record is from RefSeq and is a predicted model, not a curated record.